Molecule: ribosomal RNA, 468 nt
Filed under: uncultured bacterium
Lineage: Bacteria
Description: partial 16S ribosomal RNA
Rfam family: Bacterial small subunit ribosomal RNA
Source: RNAcentral
GACGAACGCUGGCGGCGUGCUUAACACAUGCAAGUCGAACGGAAAGGCCCUGCUUUUGUGGGGUGCUCGAGUGGCGAACGUGUGAGUAACACGUGAGUAACCUGCCCUUUACUUUGGGAUAACUUCAGGAAACUGGGGCUAAUACCGGAUAGGAGCUCCUGCUGCAUGGUUGGGGUUGGAAAGUUUCGGCGGUUGGGGAUGGACUCGCGGCUUAUCAGCUUGUUGGUGGGGUAGUGGCUUACCAAGGCUUUGACGGGUAGCCGGCCUGAGAGGGUGACCGGCCACAUUGGGAAUGAGAUACGGCCCAGACUCCUACGGGAGGCAGCAGGGGGGAAUAUUGAACAAUGGGCGGAAGCCUGAUGCAGCAACGACGAGUGCGGGAUGACGGACUUCGGGUUGUAAACCGCUUUCGCCUGUGACGAAGCGUGAGUGAAGGUAAUGGGUAAAGAAGCACCGGAUAACUACGUG